RNAcentral lists this unclassified non-coding RNA (1007 nucleotides) under Hevea brasiliensis (rubber tree). Lineage: Eukaryota; Viridiplantae; Streptophyta; Magnoliopsida; Malpighiales; Euphorbiaceae. The record is from RNAcentral.
CUUUAUAGGAAAAUUGCAAGGGCUGCAAAAAAUCAUGCAUUGCAUAUGGAGAGCCCUAUUCCACUAAGAAACUGGUUUUUUUUUUGUCAGAACAUAUGAGGUGUAGACAAUGUUGGUCAGUAUAACAAAGCACGUUUUAUAAUUAAAUUCACAAGACAACCCAGGCAUUCGUUGUGACAUAUAUCUCUUGUCCAGGAAUUAAUGCAACUCUUUUGUAUUUUAUUCUUCAUCCAUAAUAGAGAUUACAAGUACAAAGAUAUCACGUUUGUUGGGAGCAGUCUUGCCUGCAGACCCUCCUUUGCCCCGGCCACCACCUGAGCCUUUGGCUCCUCCAUCAUCUAUAACACGCCCAAUCCCUUUUGCUUGCCUUCCACCAGUGCCUUACUCCCUACCUCUUCUCCUUCCACAGCCCACCCCAGGGGGGCUUCCAAUCUGAAAAGUAAAAAGACUCAUUGAUUUAUAAUAUCAGUCAUCCAAACUCCAAAGACAUACACAUAUACCUAAUGAAUCUGUAUAAAAACGUAUUAGUCUCUCAGAUUUUUUUUUAUAUUAAUUUUAGCUUAAUACAACUAAAACCUGUGAUUUCUUCUCACUUCUCGCUAAACCAAAAUUUCAAGUGUGGGGCAUAGCAUUAGAUAGCAUGCACAGCAUGAACAGUACUCAGGGCUUUCAGCCAAAGUACAAAAUCAUGCAGGGCAAUGUCAAUAAUUGGGUGGAGGUCAAAAGACCAAAGGAGUCAUCACCUUCUUCACCCAAUCUUCCCCAGGGACAGGGACUUGGGUUUGUUGGAAGCAAAUCUAUCGUUAAAUUGCAUCAACAAGAAACAUCCACCUCAGCUGUAAUGAACAAAAUAUAACCAGAAACCAUACCAGAGUGGCUCUUGGUCUCCUCCUGAACUUUAUCAAUCACCUUUGAGGUGCAAAUAACUACCGGAAGAUGAAUGUUCAUCCAAGUAUCACAAUUCACCAAAUGCCCAUUAAAGUUUCUCCAUUCUUGAGCUCCACCAA